Molecule: ribosomal RNA, 408 nt
Filed under: uncultured bacterium
Lineage: Bacteria
Description: partial 16S ribosomal RNA
Rfam family: Bacterial small subunit ribosomal RNA
Source: RNAcentral
GACGAACGCUGGCGGCGUGCUUAACACAUGCAAGUCGAACGGAGUGGCGAACGGGUGAGUAACACGAGGGUGAUCUGCCUUGCACUUCGGGGUAAGCUUGGGAGACUGGGUCUAAUACCGGAUAGUGCAAGAUUUGCUCGCGGCCUAACAGCUUGUUGGUGGGGGACUGGCCUACGCAGGCGUCGACGGAUAGCCGGCCUGAGAGGGUGUACGGGGUCAUUGGGACUGAGAUACGGCCCAGACGCCUACGGGGGGCAUCAGUGGGGAAUAUUGCACAAUGGGCGGAAGCGUGAUGCAGCGACGCCGGGUGGGGGAUGAACGCCUUCUUGUUGUAAAGUCCUGUCGACAGGGACGCGGUACCAAUAUAAUAAGCACCGGCUAACUACGUGCCAGCAGCCGCGGUAAUAC